UACGGGGGGAGCAAGCGUUGUUCGGAUUUACUGGGCGUAGAGGGCGCGUAGGCGGUCGUGACAAGUCACUUGUGAAAUCUCCGGGCUCAACCCGGAAACUGCAUUGCGAACUGACCUAGCUGGAGUGCAGGAGAGGGCAGCGGAAUUCCCGGUGUAGCGGUGAAAUGCGUAGAUAUCGGGAAGAACACCAGUGGCGAAGGCGGCUGCCUGGCCUGUAACUGACGCUGAGACGCGAAAGCGUGGGGAGCGAACCGG
Molecule: ribosomal RNA, 255 nt
Filed under: uncultured bacterium
Lineage: Bacteria
Description: partial 16S ribosomal RNA
Rfam family: Bacterial small subunit ribosomal RNA
Source: RNAcentral